RNAcentral lists this long non-coding RNA (225 nucleotides) under Elaeis guineensis (African oil palm). RNAcentral describes it as "long non-coding RNA (EGUI_LNC026268)". Lineage: Eukaryota; Viridiplantae; Streptophyta; Magnoliopsida; Arecales; Arecaceae. The record is from RNAcentral.
GCUUCCUGCUGAUCGCCGCUAUAAGCAUGGCAAUUAUUAGUCUCACGUCUAUGUAUGGUCAUGCUAAGAAAUUAUGUUCAAACUUGAAGGUUGUUAUUUUCUUGUGAAUUUAAUCACAACUUGUCUUCUUCCUGUGACUGAAAUCCAGUGUGUUAAGAUGUCUUGAGAUGCAUUGUUCUCAUGGGAGGAACGUAUUAGAUUGAAAUCUAGUGUAUUAAGAAGAUG